AGACCCGAAACCCGGUGAUCUAGCCAUGGGCAGGUUGAAGGUUGGGUAACACUAACUGGAGGACCGAACCGACUAAUGUUGAAAAAUUAGCGGAUGACCUGUGGCUGGGGGUGAAAGGCCAAUCAAACCGGGAGAUAGCUGGUUCUCCCCGAAAGCUAUUUAGGUAGCGCCUCGUGAAUUCAUCUCCGGGGGUAGAGCACUGUUUCGGCUAGGGGGCCAUCCCGGCUUACCAACCCGAUGCAAACUGCGAAUACCGGAGAAUGUUAUCACGGGAGACACACGGCGGGUGCUAACGUCCGUCGUGAAGAGGGAAACAACCCAGACCGCCAGCUAAGGUCCCAAAGUCAUGGUUAAGUGGGAAACGAUGUGGGAAGGCCCAGACAGCCAGGAUGUUGGCUUAGAAGCAGCCAUCAUUUAAAGAAAGCGUAAUAGCUCACUGGUCGAGUCGGCCUGCGCGGAAGAUGUAACGGGGCUAAACCAUGCACCGAAGCUGCGGCAGCGACACUGUGUGUUGUUGGGUAGGGGAGCGUUCUGUAAGCCUGUGAAGGUGUGUCGUGAGGCAUGCUGGAGGUAUCAGAAGUGCGAAUGCUGACAUAAGUAACGAUAAAGCGGGUGAAAAGCCCGCUCGCCGGAAGACCAAGGGUUCCUGUCCAACGUUAAUCGGGGCAGGGUGAGUCGACCCCUAAGGCGAGGCCGAAAGGCGUAGUCGAUGGGAAACGGGUUAAUAUUCCCGUACUUGGUGUUACUGCGAAGGGGGG
This 758-nucleotide ribosomal RNA is filed under the name Salmonella enterica subsp. enterica serovar Virchow. Its description in RNAcentral is "partial 23S ribosomal RNA". It matches the Rfam family "Bacterial large subunit ribosomal RNA", at positions 711 to 1471 of the family's 2925-position model. Lineage: Bacteria; Pseudomonadati; Pseudomonadota; Gammaproteobacteria; Enterobacterales; Enterobacteriaceae. The record is from RNAcentral.